GACGAACGCUGGCGGCGUGCUUAACACAUGCAAGUCGAGCGAUGAAGCACCUUCGGGUGUGAACUAGCGGCGAACGGGUGAGGAACACGUGAGAAAUCUGCCUUCAACACUGGGAUAACUCCGGGAAACCGGGGCUAAUACCGGAUAUGAAACCUGCGGGCAUCCGCGGGUUUGGAAAGUUUUCGGUUGAAGAUGAUCUCGCGGCCUAUCAGCUUGUUGGUGAGGUAAUGGCUCACCAAGGCGACGACGGGUAGCCGGCCUGAGAGGGCGACCGGCCACACUGGGACUGAGACACGGCCCAGACUCCUACGGGAGGCAGCAGUGGGGAAUAUUGGGCAAUGGAGGAAACUCUGACCCAGCGACGCCGCGUGCGGGAUGAAGG
This 382-nucleotide ribosomal RNA is filed under the name uncultured bacterium. Its description in RNAcentral is "bacterial SSU rRNA". It matches the Rfam family "Bacterial small subunit ribosomal RNA", at positions 28 to 414 of the family's 1533-position model. The record is from RNAcentral.